Long non-coding RNA from Hyaena hyaena (striped hyena), 1636 nucleotides. RefSeq lists it as uncharacterized. The record is from RefSeq and is a predicted model, not a curated record. Lineage: Eukaryota; Metazoa; Chordata; Mammalia; Carnivora; Hyaenidae. The transcript has 2 exons.
UAUCCCCGCUGCACCCGGGUCCCUGGGUCCGGUGAUGGGGGGAGGCGCGACGUCUGGAGGGCGCAGGGGCGUGCGUGCAGAGUCCUGACAAGAAAGGACCUUCGGGGCCGCGUAAUAGCUGAGCAGAGACCGUUUGCACACGGUUACGGUGAAGGCCUCGGGGCCACGAGUCCAACGCCGGGCUCCUUGCGAAGCCUGGGCCACGUUGGAUGGCUUCGCCUGGCGUGACGUCACAGCCAGGAGCCCUCACGCUUUGUACGUGCUAAGGAGGGCCCUGAAUCGGGGGGCGGGGGCCGCGGAGCUCAGCCGCUCUCCACCUCGGCUGUGCCCCAGCUUUCCGGGCUUCUGGCUCCUCCUCUUCAGAAUAUAAAUCCAGACUGAAUGCCUGCUGACAAAGGAAGGAGGUGGCUUAUUCGCUCCCACUCAGAAUAAAUUUGCAGCGCAACGGAGAGCACUCCACGGGGACGGAAGCUGGAGGCUCUUUCCCACAUCCAGCUAAGGAAGCAGAUGUCUUGACAGCUUCCAGAUUCCGUGCCCCCUGCCCAGGAAUGCCUAUUAUAAAGUGGUUCUGUGCAAUCGGUCCCCUACCUCUGACCCUAACUGGGUGAGCUAGGUCAACCAGAAUCUUUCCAGGGGUUGUGGAUCUGGACGUCUCUCCAGGUAGCAGAGCUGUGACAUUUGAACCUCGGGCACUAUCUAGCUUUGUCUCCUGCUAAGGGGACAAAGCAGCAGAUGCAUCUGGCCUUGCAGGAGGCAGCAGAGGAGGAAACGCUGAGACGUACGUGAAGGGUCUGCGACGCUGUGACGCCAGCUUCCAGGACUCCUGAAGCCCCGUCGCAGCUUGCCUGUACCCAAAGCUUGCCUGGCCCUUUGCCCCAGGAUCCUUCCAGCAAAACCCGCUUUUUGUUUAACGGCUUCUGUCAUUUGCAAUCAAGAGUCCCGACAAAAACAACCAGACAACGCUGGUGUUAACUGUAGCUUUCAAAGCUACCUCAGCAGUUCCUACCAGAAUUUACUACAUACAUUCACUUAAGAGCGGUUUCCUUCUCAAGGGCCUCCUAGGUGCCACGUGCUGUGUUGAACACCAGAAUGAGAGAGAAACGGUAGGGGACUCUUCCUCAGCCAGAUCCUGGAGGCGGAGACAAGUGAACCCCACACUUGGCCCCAAGGGGUCAAGAACUGGAAGUAAGGGCUGCCUGACUUAGGGUAGCGUGUCUCCCUCUGGGCCAGUUUGCCCACCUUUAAAAUGCAGGGAUCGGACCAGUGGUUUUUAAACUGUAACCAGGGGGCCCCCAGAGUGCCGUAGGGCACUGAAGGGAAGGCUUAGUGGCCCCUGAGGCCUCUUCUACUUGCUCACCUGAGCAAGCCUGUUUUUAGAAAUCGGCUUCUGCGUCCAAUUUCUUCCGGAGAAAGAAUUCCUUUGCUUACGGAAAAGCGUGACCAGAUGCCUCUGGUCCAACCUGCCAGUAUUUCUAGCUUUAAGGUCCCCAUUCAACCAGGUUAGCCCUGCUCUCCUUCUCUGUGCUUAUCGUUAGGGACGUCCACUAAUAAAAGGUGAACUGUGUAAAUCUGAAAGAGCAAAAUGGACCGACAGCUGGGCAACUGGUCCCAAAAUAAAGGGUCCCUUCAUCGAAAA